Molecule: long non-coding RNA, 3644 nt
Organism: Vulpes vulpes (red fox)
Lineage: Eukaryota; Metazoa; Chordata; Mammalia; Carnivora; Canidae
Source: Ensembl
AUGUCAGCGCCGGUCCAAGCUCUCAGCAAGGGGAGCUCCGCGGGGAAACUGAGUCAGGACUUCACGGUCGGGGAGCCAGACGCAGGUGGCCGGAGAUCCGAGCGCGGGGAGCCGGAUCUGCUCCGACCGAGCCCAGGCCAGUCGGCCACGUGUGUCCGAACGGCUUGUCACUCAGCACGCAGGGGGCGGGGCCUGGAGGAUUGUCCAAUCAGGGGCGGCAGGGGCGGGGCCGAGGCGUGGAAGCCCCCCGUGGUUAACCGCCCGCCCGCACUCCGGGGGCGGUGCCCGGAAGACGAGCCAAUCAGACGCAGAGGCUCGGAGCGCCGUCCAAUCAGGGCGCAGAGGCCCGGAGCGCCGUCCAAUCAGGGCGGGGGAAGGGCGCGCUCCAGCCGCGUGUCCAUCGCUCCGCUGCCGCCCCGGCGCCCGUGCGCACCUGCCUCGCGCGGCCGCCGGUGUCCGGUCCUCCUCGGUCUCGGCGGCCCGGGUGGCAGGGACAGCCCGAGCGGGACGCGAGAUGGACACCUUGUUCCUGCUAGAAAACAAAAUCCAGCUGAGUAAUGGGCGCUCUUCAGUGAUUCAUGGGCCGGGCAGCGUGCCAUCUCGGGGCAGGAAGGAGCUCGGAGGAGCUGCACAAAAUGAAAGACUUUCACGGGCACCAGGAGUGGGAGCAGGAGACUGUGAGACAGAAAGUGGGGCCGGUUGUGACAGGUCCCCUUCCGUCCCGCGGCAGGGGUGGCCGGGGUCUAGCAGCCGCAGGACCUGGGCGCUCCUGACCAGCUCAUUCCCGCCGGGCUGGUGUCACAUUCCAUUUCUGGGAGAGGCCGAAACUGCAGUCAGGCGAAUCCUGGGUUUGGUGACAAGGAGCCUGGUACGCAGGAGUCCAUUUUGGGUCGGCCGUCUCCGUUUUUGCCAUUCCCAGGACUGCUGCUCGGGCCCCAGGCUCCCGGCACCUCCGGUCCGGCAGAAACAGGGCUUUUCCUCAGGAGGAGCAGUGGCGGAAAGGAGGUCUGGCAGGAGCGGCCCCCCUGUGCUCCGGGCUUCCUUUGCUCAGGUGGGCAGUGGCGCGUUCUGCAUCCGAGCACCUGCUCCAGCAGAGGUGGCGAUGGGGAGACAAAGUCGGGGCCGUGGGGAGGCCGGAGGCCUGGGGGAGUCGGUGACCCCGCGGUGCGGUGAGCAGAGGAGCGGCGGCAAAGGCGUUGCUGGAGAGGACAGCGCCGGCCACCCAUGGUGCUGCGUGGGCCUCCCGGAGGGCAGCUCCCAGGCCCACGUGCGGGCCGGAGGAGGGCGAAGCCGGGCUGCGUGGGAGCAGCAGGCGCUGGGUGCCCGUGGGCCCGGGACAAGCAGCCGCGCUAGUCCGGCCGAGGAGCCGGCGCGGAUCUGGGGGUCGGGGUGCGGCCCUGGUAGGGACGGGCCACCUCCCUGGGAGUCGUGCCUCGGCCGGGGCCGGGCCCUCUCUGCAGCCUGCUGUUGUCCAGGCCCACGGGCUGCUCGCCUGCUGUGUGCCAGCAGCACAGGCUCUGGGGGGACCCGCAGGCCCCCCGCCCCCGGUGGCAGCCUGGUCCCUGUCCAGCUGCCUCCCGGGCCAUCCUGGACUUCAGCAGGUGGAGGUGGAGCGUGACCGACCCCUUCCUCCCCACCCCCUUCCCCUCGAGGUGGAGGGUGGAGGGCGUGAGGUCUGCCCUCCUCCUGCUGACUGUGUGGCUCUGGGGCUUCUCCAGGGAACGUGCCCGGGGCGUGGGGGGCAGGUGUCCCGGUACUGACCCUGUCCCUGUGCACGAGGGUCGGGCGCGUGCGGGGGUCCGCACCUUCAUGCCGGGCGAGUGGACUCAUGGAUGAAAGGAUUCCUCCAAAUCCUAGUGAGUAUUCACGCGGGGACAGCGCUGGGACACUGGGCGAUCCUGUCUCCCUCCGGUUAAUUGCGGAAGGUCGGACGGAGAUCGUGGACGUUCUGUGAACUGAACGUGGUCGGUUCUGACCUAUGAUUUGCUACCACGAUGGUAAAGUCAACAACUAACUGUUUUCUGUAAAGGAUAAACAUUUCCCGUUUAUUUAAACCAUCAACAUACCCCGAGCCUCCCUCCCUGCUCCCUCGAGCCCGGGGUGGGGGGUGGGGAGUGGGGGGGGCUGGGGACAGCGAUUCUGCACCUUGUGCUUCACGCCGUGGGUCAGCGGCUUGGUCCUGGUGCAGGGACGCAGGUGCUGGAGGCAGGUGCUCCCAGGGCUGCGGACAGGCUGCCCCUGGGGCCGGGGGGUCGUGCCCGCCUGCAGCGUGGGGCGAUCUGGGGCUGUCCUGGGGCUGCUCCCUCCUGGCUGGUCCUGGCAUCAGCCACAGAGUUGGUAGAGUCAGGGGGGAUCUGUGCAACCUGGGGCGGUCUGUGAAGGUCAGGCUGAGGGGGCCCCCUGGGCUCAAGCGCCGUGGGAAGGGCUGAUGAGCGCGAGCCUCUAAGGGUCAGCACCUAAGUCUGAGGGUUUCCUCCCUGGUGAGAAUUGGGGUCCCGGAGGAGGGACCGUUUCCACACUGAGGGGGGGCGGGGUGUGUGGAGCUGCAGAACCGUUCCCCGGGGGCUCAGGGUCCCCUCCCCCUUCCCUGGCAGCAGCCACCCUGGCCAGUGUCAGCGGGGAGAGCUGGCCCCCGUGAUGGGACCGGCCUUGACCCCCCACCCUGGGGUUUCUGGUGCUGUGUGGGCGCAGCGGGGGCUGACCUGCGCUGGCUCCCACUUGCUGCUGCUCCCGCGUGUUUCCUGGAGAGGCUCCUGCUGCCCAGUGAGCCCAGCGUGGGUGAUACGACUUUUGUCAUGUGGCCACAUUUGCAGGACUCGGCUCUUUGAAUUCUCGUGUGUUAGCAUCUACCCGUGUGCUGCCCCCAAGGUGACCCGUGUCCUGCCCCCUCCUGAUGGCCGCUGGACACGUGUCCACCACCAGGCGGUGUCACCUGACUGCCCUGUUGAAGAUGCCGGUGAAUGUCAGCAGUGUCCCUGCGGACGUCAUGGCUGCUGUGUGGUUGCUCAGCCCUGGUCUGUGUCGCUGGGCAGGUGCCCUCGACUCGGGUCACCCCGUGAGCUCCUCCCUCCUGGGCCUCAUGGGCCCGAGGUCCCAAGUCCAUGCUUCGGGGUUGUCAGCAUGCUGCGUCGGUCUUGUUUGGUCUCUGGGUGUAAACCUGUAUUAAUUAUUUACACCUGCAGAAAAUUGCAUAUCGUAGAUCAAGGGGAAGUUAAAAUUUAUAGAGAAACGCGGAUGUGGUGCGUGAAUCUCACGUGGGCUGAUGCCUGGCCCUCGGGCACUGCGGGUUAUGCAGCUUCAUGUCCAGCUGGAGGGCAGGACGCGGGAUCUCCUUGGGGUCCCCCGUGGGCUCCUCUGAUCCCCACUAGGGCGGAGCAUCCUCAUGGGUGGGGUUCCGCCUCCUGUGGAAGAGUUUCCAGCGUGUUGUCCCCUGUAGCCUGCGAGUCUGCGUGGAUGGACUCUCCACGUGUUUACUACACUUGGCCUUCCCCGUGUCUUCCUGUGUUGAUCACCCUUUUGUGCCCUGAGAGAACCCUGCCAUGGCUCAGGCGUAAACACACCUGCUGGAACCUCCUCCUUGUGUGUUCUGCUUGUUUCCACGACAGUGAAAUAAAUCCCCAGGAUCGCUUGUUGCCCGUAAAAUU